Molecule: long non-coding RNA, 335 nt
Organism: Gallus gallus (chicken)
Lineage: Eukaryota; Metazoa; Chordata; Aves; Galliformes; Phasianidae
Source: Ensembl
CUGCUCCAGGCUGUCUGACUGACACCUUGAAAGACAGAUCAAAUGACCACGGAGGAGACACAUUUUUGGACUUCUGCUACAUUCUUUCAGUAUCUUGCAUUGGAUCCAGUCCAGUCACUGAAGAUUUGCAGUACGCUCAUUGGAAUCAUAAUGGCAUGACCUGUUUGUUGUACAGUACAGAAGCUGUUGCAUUUGAGCAAAUCCUCCCUUGCUGCAGUCACCCAGGGAGGACCUGCCUAAGGUAAUCUUGCAAGAGAAUCUGAUUUCUAAUUAAUACUGCAUUCUAAUUUAAUAACUAAUAGCUUUUGAUGUGCUAAUUAUGAAAUGAGUUAUCC